UUGAGUGAUGCACGAACGGAAGUGAGUGACGUACGGACAGAGAACUAGGUUCUGGCACGUGUUGCUGUUAUGCACAUGUGAUAAAUAAAGUAAGCAAUGAUACUGCUUUAAUCAUCCAUUCUGUAUAGUUUAAUAAAACAGAACAGAAUGAAACAUGGUGGCAGCCGUCGUGAAUUCAGCCGAGGCGAAAGAAUAUCGAGCCGUGAGGAGUGAAAAGUGAAAAGUGCCGUUAGCUUGUUGUAGUUAGCCUAGCACGCGAGAUCGAGCAAGGGAUUACACAGUGUAUACGGAGCCUAAACCGGAGCAGAAAAGAGCGUCAGACGUCGCGAUGAAUGGUCUCAAGACGCCUCCAAUACUUUGUUUGGAUUCAGACAACUUAGCGAAAACUUGGAAAGUUUUCCAAGACCUCACUAUGCCCGAUGCAGAAGAGACAACUAAAGUUAAGUUGUUUAAUUACCUCCUCGGAGAGAGAGGGAGGGAACAUUUAGCAACGCUGACAAGCGGUGAUGUAUCUGCGCGGAGGACAGUGAGUACGAUGACGACGCAGUUUGAUAAACAUUGCAAUCCGCAACUGAAUGAGACUGUUGAGCGAUAUAAGUUUUUUGUUAGAGACCAAGGACAAGACGAAAAUAUUGACAGAUAUGUCACAGAUUUGAGAGUAUUGGCCAGCACGUGCAAUUUUGGUGACAUUAAGGACUCACUAAUAAGCGACCGCAUUGUGUGUGGUACACAGCCCUGAGAUGAGGGAAAUAAUCCAAGGAGAGACAAAAUGGACGAGAUUAACUGUAACUUUUGUGGUAACAUACAUGAGAAAAAUAAACACAGAUGUCCAGCCUAUGGAAAGAAGUGUAAGAAAUAUGGAAAGGAGAACACUUUUCUGCAAAAUGCAAGUCCAGGUUUGAGAAAAACAAGAAAGGCAGACCUGUACACAAAAUUUCAGAAUCAAGUGAGUCGUGUGAGGACAUCAUGACAAUAACAGAUGUCAGUGAAAACCAAGAUACAAUAAAUCAAGUGAAAGAAGCACACAGCAAAAGUCAACAUCUCUUUGCAGAUACCACCAGCUCAGAUCUCAGCAUGUCUGUCGGACAUAUCAUCUUGGAUGACGGCUCAUCGGUUGAAACUCAAUCCCAGCAAAACAACUGUUGAUCAGGAAACAUUUGGAUUCCGUAGCUCAUGGCUGGUCUAUUUGAGUGUAUACUUCUCUCCAAAACUUCUUUGACCACUGGUCACAAGAUUAGAAGCUACUUGAUGCUGAGAAGCUACUUCAUGCAUUCAUGAUCUCCAGACUGGACUAUUGUAAUGCAUUACUAGGUGCUUGUCUUGCAUCUUUAAUAAAUAGGCUACAGUUAGUCCAAAAUGCAGCUGCCAGAUUUCUCUCUUAUAUAAUCAUAUAACCCCAAUUCUAUUAUCUCUACACUGGCUACCUGAAACGUAGAGUGAUGUUAAUAAGUACAGAGUUUGGGGCAAAGGACCUGUACUGCCCUUUAAACUCAAACACACUGAAACUUUGCAGAUCUGUUUGAAAUGGAAAUCAGUCUCUCUUUCUAUAAAAGAAAAGUCAAGUCAAGAAGCUUUUAUUGUUAUUUCAACCAUAAUAUAGCUGUUGCAGUAUACAGUGAAAUGAGGCAACAGGACAAGAGAGUGAAAGUCAAGACAAACAAGUCAGUGCAGGACAAGACAAACAAGACACUGCAGGACAAAAGACAGUGCAGGACAAGACAAACAGGACAGUGCAGGACAAAAGACAAAAAAGAAAUAAAGGCAGUGCAGGACAAAAAGACACUGCAGGAUAAAAGACAAAAAUCCAGAAAG
Long non-coding RNA from Tachysurus fulvidraco (yellow catfish), 1812 nucleotides. RefSeq lists it as uncharacterized. The record is from RefSeq and is a predicted model, not a curated record. Lineage: Eukaryota; Metazoa; Chordata; Actinopteri; Siluriformes; Bagridae. The transcript is spliced from 3 exons.